UAGCCUGACCGAGCAACGCCGCGUGAGUGAUUAAGGCCUUCGGGUUGUAAAGCUCUGUUGUAAGGGAAGAACAUUCAGGAUAGGAAAUGAUCUUGAACUGACGGUACCUUACCAGAAAGCCACGGCUAACUACGUGCCAGCAGCCGCGGUAAUACGUAGGUGGCAAGCGUUAUCCGGAAUUAUUGGGCGUAAAGGGUGCGUAGGCGGUUUAUUAAGUCUAUGGUGAAAGUGCGGGGCUCAACCCCGUAUGGCCAUANAAACUGGUAGACUUGAGUGCAGGAGAGGGCAAUGGAAUUCCAUGUGUAGCGGUAAAAUGCGUAGAUAUAUGGAGGAACACCAGUGGCGAAGGCGGUUGCCUGGCCUGUAACUGACGCUGAAGCACGAAAGCGUGGGGAGCAAAUAGGAUUAGAUACCCUAGUAGUCCACGCCGUAAACGAUGAAUACUAAGUGUUGGAGAAAUUCAGUGCUGCAGUUAACGCAAUAAGUAUUCCGCCUGGGGAGUAUGCACGCAAGUGUGAAACUCAAA
This 526-nucleotide ribosomal RNA is filed under the name uncultured prokaryote. Its description in RNAcentral is "bacterial SSU rRNA". It matches the Rfam family "Bacterial small subunit ribosomal RNA", at positions 379 to 905 of the family's 1533-position model. The record is from RNAcentral.